This 253-nucleotide ribosomal RNA is filed under the name uncultured bacterium. RNAcentral describes it as "partial 16S ribosomal RNA". It matches the Rfam family "Bacterial small subunit ribosomal RNA", at positions 524 to 776 of the family's 1533-position model. The record is from RNAcentral.
UACGUAGGGGGCGAGCGUUGUCCGGAUUUAUUGGGCGUAAAGAGCGUGUAGGCGGCCAGGUAGGUCUGCUGUGAAAACUCGAGGCUCAACCUCGAGACGUCGGCGGAAACCAUCUGGCUAGAGUCCGGAAGAGGAGAGUGGAAUUCCUGGUGUAGCGGUGAAAUGCGUAGAGAUCCGGAAGAACACCGGUGGCGAAGGCGGCCUGCUGGGCAGUAGCUGACGCUGAUGCGCGACAGCGUGGGGAGCAAACAGG